ACAGUGGUGUUUCAGUGGUAGAAUUUUUGCCUUCCAUGCAGGAGACCAGGGUUUGAUUCCCAGUCAAUGCA
This 71-nucleotide transfer RNA is filed under the name Loxodonta africana (African savanna elephant). It matches the Rfam family "tRNA". Rfam says of the family: Transfer RNA (tRNA) molecules are approximately 80 nucleotides in length. Their secondary structure includes four short double-helical elements and three loops (D, anti-codon, and T loops). Further hydrogen bonds mediate the characteristic L-shaped molecular structure. tRNAs have two regions of fundamental functional importance: the anti-codon, which is responsible for specific mRNA codon recognition, and the 3' end, to which the tRNAs corresponding amino acid is attached (by aminoacyl-tRNA synthetases). tRNAs cope with the degeneracy of the genetic code in two manners: having more than one tRNA (with a specific anti-codon) for a particular amino acid; and 'wobble' base-pairing, i.e. permitting non-standard base-pairing at the 3rd anti-codon position. Lineage: Eukaryota; Metazoa; Chordata; Mammalia; Proboscidea; Elephantidae. The record is from Rfam by way of RNAcentral.